CCUACGGGUGGCAGCAGUGAGGAAUAUUGGUCAAUGGACGCGAGCCUGAACCAGCCAAGUCGCGUGUAGGAUGACUGCCCUACGGGUUGUAAACUUCUUUUAUAAAGGAAUAAAGUGAGGCACGUGUGCCGUUUUGUAUGUACUUUAUGAAUAAGGAUCGGCUAACUCCGUGCCAGCAGCCGCGGUAAUACGGAGGAUCCGAGCGUUAUCCGGAUUUAUUGGGUUUAAAGGGAGCGUAGAUGGGUUGAUAAGUUAGUUGUGAAAGUUUGCGGCUCAACCGUAAAAUUGCAAUUGAUACUGGUAGCCUUGAGAACAGUUGCGGUAGGCGGAAUGUGUGGUGUAGCGGUGAAAUGCUUAGAUAUCACGAAGAACUCCGAUUGCGAAGGCAGCUUACUAAACUGCCACUGACAUUGAUGCUCGAAAGUGUGGGUAUCAAACAGGAUUAGAUACCCUAGUAGUC
This 460-nucleotide ribosomal RNA is filed under the name uncultured bacterium. RNAcentral's name for it is "partial 16S ribosomal RNA". It matches the Rfam family "Bacterial small subunit ribosomal RNA", at positions 338 to 795 of the family's 1533-position model. The record is from RNAcentral.